This 449-nucleotide ribosomal RNA is filed under the name uncultured bacterium. Its description in RNAcentral is "partial 16S ribosomal RNA". It matches the Rfam family "Bacterial small subunit ribosomal RNA", at positions 29 to 523 of the family's 1533-position model. The record is from RNAcentral.
AACGAACGCUGGCGGCAUGCCUAACACAUGCAAGUCGAACGAGAUCUUCGGGUCUAGUGGCGCACGGGUGCGUAACGCGUGGGAAUCUGCCCUUUGGUUCGGAAUAACAGUUGGAAACGACUGCUAAUACCGGAUGAUGACGAAAGUCCAAAGAUUUAUCGCCGGAGGAUGAGCCCGCGUAGGAUUAGCUAGUUGGUGUGGUAAAGGCGCACCAAGGCGACGAUCCUUAGCUGGUCUGAGGGGAUGAUCAGCCACACUGGGACUGAGACACGGCCCAGACUCCUACGGGAGGCAGCAGUGGGGAAUAUUGGACAAUGGGCGAAAGCCUGAUCCAGCAAUGCCGCGUGAGCGAUGAAGGCCUUAGGGUUGUAAAGCUCUUUUACCCGGGAUGAUAAUGACAGUACCGGGAGAAUAAGCUCCGGCUAACUCCGUGCCAGCCGCCGCGGUAA